UGGUAUACAGUUUUUCUAAUUGCAAUUACU
Molecule: non-coding RNA, 30 nt
Filed under: Rattus norvegicus (Norway rat)
Lineage: Eukaryota; Metazoa; Chordata; Mammalia; Rodentia; Muridae
Source: RNAcentral